Molecule: ribosomal RNA, 301 nt
Filed under: uncultured bacterium
Lineage: Bacteria
Description: partial 16S ribosomal RNA
Rfam family: Bacterial small subunit ribosomal RNA
Source: RNAcentral
CAGCCGCCGCGGUAAUACGAAGGGUGCAAGCGUUAAUCGGAAUUACUGGGCGUAAAGCGUGCGUAGGCGGUGAGUUAAGUCUGCUGUGAAAUCCCCGGGCUCAACCUGGGAAUGGCAGUGGAUACUGGCUCGCUAGAGUGUGUCAGAGGAUGGUGGAAUUCCCGGUGUAGCGGUGAAAUGCGUAGAGAUCGGGAGGAACAUCAGUGGCGAAGGCGGCCAUCUGGGACAACACUGACGCUGAGACGCGAAAGCCAGGGGAGCGAACGGGAUUAGAUACCCCCGUAGUCCCUGUCUCUUAUAC